UCCCUGAUAGCUCAGUUGGUAAAGAAUCUGCCUGCAAUGCAGGAGACCCUGAUUCGAUUCCUGGGUUGGGAA
Molecule: transfer RNA, 72 nt
Filed under: Muntiacus reevesi (Reeves' muntjac)
Lineage: Eukaryota; Metazoa; Chordata; Mammalia; Artiodactyla; Cervidae
Also listed under: 3 other names
Rfam family: tRNA
About the family: Transfer RNA (tRNA) molecules are approximately 80 nucleotides in length.
Source: Rfam by way of RNAcentral